This 484-nucleotide ribosomal RNA is filed under the name uncultured bacterium. RNAcentral describes it as "partial 16S ribosomal RNA". It matches the Rfam family "Bacterial small subunit ribosomal RNA", at positions 30 to 507 of the family's 1533-position model. The record is from RNAcentral.
AUUGAACGCUGGCGGCAGGCCUAACACAUGCAAGUCGAGCGGAUGAAGGGAGCUUGCUCCUGGAUUCAGCGGCGGACGGGUGAGUAAUGCCUAGGAAUCUGCCUGGUAGUGGGGGAUAACGUCCGGAAACGGGCGCUAAUACCGCAUACGUCCUGAGGGAGAAAGUGGGGGAUCUUCGGACCUCACGCUAUCAGAUGAGCCUAGGUCGGAUUCGCUAGUUGGUGGGGUAAAGGCCUACCAAGGCGACGAUCCGUAACUGGUCUGAGAGAAUGAUCAGUCACACUGGAACUGAGACACGGUCCAGACGCCGACGGGAGGCAGCAGUGGGGAAUAUUGGACAAUGGGCGAAAGCCUGAUCCAGCCAUGCCGCGUGUGUGAAGAAGGUCUUCGGAUUGUAAAGCACUUUAAGUUGGGAGGAAGGGCAGUAAGUUAAUACCUUGCUGUUUUGACGGUACCAUCAGAAUAAGCACCGGCUAACUUCGUG